GAUGAACGCUGGCGGCGUGCCUAAUACAUGCAAGUCGAGCGAACGGACGAGAAGCUUGCUUCUCUGAUGUUAGCGGCGGACGGGUGAGUAACACGUGGAUAACCUACCUAUAAGACUGGGAUAACUUCGGGAAACCGGAGCUAAUACCGGAUAAUAUAUUGAACCGCAUGGUUCAAAAGUGAAAGACGGUCUUGCUGUCACUUAUAGAUGGAUCCGCGCUGCAUUAGCUAGUUGGUAAGGUAACGGCUUACCAAGGCAACGAUGCAUAGCCGACCUGAGAGGGUGAUCGGCCACACUGGAACUGAGACACGGUCCAGACUCCUACGGGAGGCAGCAGUAGGGAAUCUUCCGCAAUGGGCGAAAGCCUGACGGAGCAACGCCGCGUGAGUGAUGAAGGUCUUCGUAUCGUAAAACUCUGUUAUUAGGGAAGAACAUAUGUGUAAGUAACUGUGCACAUCUUGACGGUACCUAAUCAGAAAGCCACGGCUAACUACGUG
Molecule: ribosomal RNA, 497 nt
Filed under: uncultured bacterium
Lineage: Bacteria
Description: partial 16S ribosomal RNA
Rfam family: Bacterial small subunit ribosomal RNA
Source: RNAcentral